UCUAAUGUGGAGGCCACGUGGUCUGGGUCUGUUCAUGACUCCAGGAUUUAUGGAGAGUCUAACCUGAGCAACAGACUGCAGCGUGGAGAGUUUGAUGGCCUUCUGCUGGGUGACAGGGGUUACCAUGCCAACCCAGGCUGAUGACCUCAUACCCUGACCCUGAACCAGGCCCCCAACAGAACUUCAACCGGACUCACUGCAGGACCAGAGCCCGGGUGGAGAUGACCAUAGGCCUGCUGAAAGCCCGUUUCCAGAGCCUACGUCUCCUCAGGGUGACCCCUGAGAGGGCCUGUGAUAUUACUGUGGCAUGUGUUGUUCUUCAUAAUAUUACCACUAUUAGAGGAGAGCAACACCCUGCCCUACAAACUGAAGACCCAGAUGAUGAGCCCAUCCACCUGCAGCUAUCCAGGACAGCAGAGCAGUCAGAGACACCGUAUGCAAUAAUCACGUUAGAGUUUAAGUCUCCAUCAUCACCACCACAGCAAAUAAAGACAUGAUACACAUUUCA
This is a long non-coding RNA of Acanthochromis polyacanthus (spiny chromis), 508 nucleotides long. RefSeq lists it as uncharacterized. The transcript is spliced from 2 exons. The record is from RefSeq and is a predicted model, not a curated record. NCBI's taxonomy places the organism in Eukaryota, Metazoa, Chordata, Actinopteri, Pomacentridae.